AAUGAACACUCAGCUCUGGGUGACAUGAUGAGGGCAAAAAGGUCCAACAGAACCAACAGGCAAGCAGAAACAAGAACUGCUUCUCAGCAGAUGCUUUGCUUGCAAAUUGAUUGAUCCAAUGUAUACCCUGAUGGUUUUAACGGAGUUUCAACAACACUGUGCAGAGAAGCAGCCGUAC
Carcharodon carcharias (great white shark) is the source of this 178-nucleotide long non-coding RNA. RefSeq lists it as uncharacterized. The record is from RefSeq and is a predicted model, not a curated record. NCBI's taxonomy places the organism in Eukaryota, Metazoa, Chordata, Chondrichthyes, Lamniformes, Lamnidae. The transcript has 3 exons.